GGCCCCUACGUAGAGCUUGAUCUUGUGAUCGGAGAUAUGGAAGAUUGCUCCCUGAUGUUAGCGGCGGACGGGUGAGUAACACGUGGGUAACCUGCCUGUAAGACUGGGAUAACUCCGGGAAACCGGGGCUAAUACCGGAUGGUUGUUUGAACCGCAUGGUUCAAACAUAAAAGGUGGCUUCUUUUACCACUUACAGAUGGACCCGCGGUGCAUUAGCUAUUUGGUGAGGUAUUGGUUCACCAAGGCAACGAUGCUUAACCGACCUGACAGGGUGAUCGGCCACACUGGACUGAUACCGGCCCAUACUCCUACGGGAGGCAGCACUUUGGAAUCUUCGUUAUGGACGAAAGUCUGACGGAUUCGCCGCGUGAGUGAUGAAGGUUUUCGGAUCGUAAGCUCUGUUGUUAGGGAAGAACAAGUACCGUUCGAAUAGGGCGGUACCUUGACGGUACCUAACCAGAAAUCCACGGCUACUACGUGCCACCAUCCGCUGUAAUACGUAGGUGGCAAGCGUUGUCCGGAAUUAUUGGGCGUAAAGGGCUCGCAUGCGGUAUCUUAAGUCUGAUGUGAAAGCUCCCGGCUCAACCGGGGAGGGUCAUUGGAAACUGGGGAACUUGAGUGCAGAAGAGGAGAGUGGAAUUCCACGUGUAGCGGAGAAAUGCGUAGAGAUGUGGAGGAACACCAGUGGCGAAGGCGACUCUCUGGUCUGUAACUGACGCUGAGGAGCGAAAGCGUGGGGAGCGAACAGGAUUAGAUACCCUGGUAGUCCACGCCGUAAACGAUGAGUGCUAAGUGUUAGGGGGUUUCCGCCCCUUAGUGCUGCAGCUAACGCAUUAAGCACUCCACCUGGGGAGUACGGUCGCAAGACUGAAACUCAAAGGAAUUGACGGGGGCCCGCACAAGCGGUGGAGCAUGUGGUUUAAUUCGAAGCAACGCGAAGAACCUUACCAGGUCUUGACAUCCUCUGACAAUCCUAGAGAUAGGACGUCCCCUUCGGGGGCAGAGUGACAGGUGGUGCAUGGUUGUCGUCAGCUCGUGUCGUGAGAUGUUGGGUUAAGUCCCGCAACGAGCGCAACCCUUGAUCUUAGUUGCCAGCAUUCAGUUGGGCACUUUAAGGUGACUGCCGGUGACAAACCGGAGGAAGGUGGGGAUGACGUCAAAUCAUCAUGCCCCUUAUGACCUGGGCUACACACGUGCUACAAUGGACAGAACAAAGGGCAGCGAAACCGCGAGGUUAAGCCAAUCCCACAAAUCUGUUCUCAGUUCGGAUCGCAGUCUGCAACUCGACUGCGUGAAGCUGGAAUCGCUAGUAAUCGCGGAUCAGCAUGCCGCGGUGAAUACGUUCCCGGGCCUUGUUCACCCCGCCUCUCUCACUCGUAACAAGGUAACCGUAGAGAGGAUCUGGGGUCAGUAAGUCGUAACAAGGUAGCCGUAGAGUGUUUGCCA
This 1446-nucleotide ribosomal RNA is filed under the name Bacillus tequilensis. RNAcentral's name for it is "bacterial SSU rRNA". It matches the Rfam family "Bacterial small subunit ribosomal RNA". The record is from RNAcentral. Lineage: Bacteria; Bacillati; Bacillota; Bacilli; Caryophanales; Bacillaceae.